AUUGAACGCUGGCGGCAGGCUUAACACAUGCAAGUCGAGCGGGGUGAUGGUGCUUGCACUAUCACUUAGCGGCGGACGGGUGAGUAAUGCUUAGGAAUCUGCCUAUUAGUGGGGGACAACAUCUCGAAAGGGAUGCUAAUACCGCAUACGUCCUACGGGAGAAAGCAGGGGAUCACUUGUGACCUUGCGCUAAUAGAUGAGCCUAAGUCGGAUUAGCUAGUUGGUGGGGUAAAGGCCUACCAAGGCGACGAUCUUUAGCGGGUCUGAGAGGAUGAGCCGCCACACUGGGACUGAGACACGGCCCAGACUCCUACGGGAGGCAGCAGUGGGGAAUAUUGGACAAUGGGGGGAACCCUGAUCCAGCCAUGCCGCGUGUGUGAAGAAGGCCUUAUGGUUGUAAAGCACUUUAAGCGAGGAGGAGGCUCUUUUGGUUAAUACCCAAGAUGAGUGGACGUUACUCGCAGAAUAAGCACCGGCUAACUCUGUGCCAGCAGCCGCGGUAA
Molecule: ribosomal RNA, 503 nt
Filed under: uncultured bacterium
Lineage: Bacteria
Description: partial 16S ribosomal RNA
Rfam family: Bacterial small subunit ribosomal RNA
Source: RNAcentral